GCUUAAAACUCAAAGGACUUGGCGGUGCUUUACAUCCCCCUAGAGGAGCCUGUUCUAUAAUCGAUAAACCCCGAUAUACCUCACCAUCUCUUGCUAAUUCAGCCUAUAUACCGCCAUCUUCAGCAAACCCUAAAAAGGAAGAAAAGUAAGCACAAGUAUCUUAACACAAAAAAGUUAGGUCAAGGUGUA
This 189-nucleotide ribosomal RNA is filed under the name Herpailurus yagouaroundi (jaguarundi). Its description in RNAcentral is "Puma yagouaroundi (jaguarundi) partial 12S ribosomal RNA". Lineage: Eukaryota; Metazoa; Chordata; Mammalia; Carnivora; Felidae. The record is from RNAcentral.